AGUAACGGCGAGUGAAGCGGUAACAGCUCAAAUUUGAAAUCUGGCUCCCUGUGGAGUCCGAGUUGUAAUUUGUAGAAGAUGCUUUGGGUGCACGAUCCGGCCUAAGUGCCUUGGAACAGGACGUCGUAGAGGGUGAGAAUCCCGUAUGCGGCCGGUUUCGACGCCCGUGUAAAGCUCUUUCGACGAGUCGAGUUGUUUGGGAAUGCAGCUCAAAAUGGGUGGUAAAUUUCAUCUAAAGCUAAAUAUGGGCCAGAGACCGAUAGCGCACAAGUAGAGUGAUCGAAAGAUGAAAAGCACUUUGGAAAGAGAGUUAAACAGUACGUGAAAUUGUUGAAAGGGAAGCGCUUGCAACCAGACUUGGGCGUCGCUGAUCAUCCAAAGUUCUCUUUGGUGCACUCGACGAUGCACAGGCCAGCAUCGGUUGGGGUGGUGGGAGAAAGACUGCAGGAACGUAGCUCUUUUCGGAGAGUGUUAUAGCCUGCGGUGCAAUACCGCCUACCUCGACCGAGGACCGCGCUUCGGCUAGGAUGCUGGCGUAAUGGUUGUAAGCGACCCGUCUUGAAACACGGACCAAGGAGUCUAACAUCUAUGCGAGUGUUUGGGUGCGAAACCCAUGCGCGAAAUGAAAGUGAACGCAGGUGAGAACCCUUUAAGGGGGCAUCAUCGACCGAUCCUGAUGUCUUCGGAUGGAUUUGAGUAAGAGCAUAGCUGUUGGGA
This 717-nucleotide ribosomal RNA is filed under the name Phyllactinia alangii. RNAcentral's name for it is "eukaryotic LSU rRNA". It matches the Rfam family "Eukaryotic large subunit ribosomal RNA", at positions 82 to 814 of the family's 3401-position model. Lineage: Eukaryota; Fungi; Ascomycota; Leotiomycetes; Helotiales; Erysiphaceae. The record is from RNAcentral.